Molecule: long non-coding RNA, 797 nt
Organism: Schistocerca serialis cubense
Lineage: Eukaryota; Metazoa; Arthropoda; Insecta; Orthoptera; Acrididae
Exons: 3
Source: RefSeq, a predicted model, not a curated record
ACAUUCAAGAUAACAGACACUGAGCAGAUUGUGUGCUAGCACACUGAAAAGCAUCAGGAAGAUGACUUUGGUAGGGAAGCGAAAAUGGAUAGAAGCCAUGAAUCCAUAAUCGUAAAUUUGCAGUCAGAUGGUUUUGCACAUAGAUAGCAGUGACGGUGAUAUUACUACGAUGUGGACUCAGAAACAGAGUGGGGUGGUGCCUUCAAAGAAGAGGUAAUUAUGGUUGAGGAUACAGUUAGUCAUGGUGAUGAGGAAGAAGGAUGUAGGUUUGCAGUCAGUGAGCACUGGGACAACAGCCUACUUUCACUACCAACUUUUCAGCCAGUUUUCAGAGGAAGAGCCAGUUGCUGAGGACACCUGUGCAGAUAAAGUGGGAUCUUCAGCUACUAGUAAGGUGGCUCCAUCAUCUUCUCCUCACACCACACCUUACAUGUCUGGUAAUGGUUCAACUGUGUACCUCUGCCUCUAAAAUACUUUGGCUGGCAAAUGGCCUCCAAUGAGUUGGUAAUCAUUGAGAGUUAUGCUGGGCAGUUGUGCUGACCACUUUGCAGUUCCUGAUUUGGAGUAACUUCUGACUAGUGAUGACCUCUGCUGAUAACAUGAAUUCUCCUGUUGGUGGUUACCAUCUUGCAGACCUAUGCCUUGGACUACACCUCACUGACAGGGCUCCAUCAGGCACCUUCAAUGGAGUUACCAGCCUGGUGCUAUCUCCCUUCAUAAAUCCCCCGAUGAUUAUUUACUAAGUGCUAUGUUUUCCUGUAACCCAGAUAUACUGUACAGUUGCUUGAUAAUGUUUU